Vicia faba (fava bean) is the source of this 213-nucleotide non-coding RNA. NCBI's taxonomy places the organism in Eukaryota, Viridiplantae, Streptophyta, Magnoliopsida, Fabales, Fabaceae. The record is from the annotation of a GenBank genome assembly.
AUGAUGGACUCCCUUUUGAAAGCUGCACAUGAGUACAUAAGGAAAAAUUGUAACAAAUAUUUGGGGGACCUGGGAUUCGAACCCAGGUCCCAAUGUUCACAAGCUCACGCCCCAGCCACUCAACCAUCCUGCUUUAUUUGUUAUUAUGAUAAGAAGAAAAAAAAAUAUGAAAUAAAUGAAUAUGCUUGCAAAAAUAAAAAUAAAAGCGCGUAA